GACGAACGCUGGCGGCGUGCUUAACACAUGCAAGUCGAGCGGUAAGGCCCUUUCGGGGGUACACGAGCGGCGAACGGGUGAGUAACACGUGGGUGACCUGCCCUUAGCUCUGGGAUAAGCCUGGGAAACUGGGUCUAAUACCGGAUAUGACUCCAUGACGCAUGUUGUGGGGUGGAAAGCCUUGUGCGGCUAGGGAUGGGCCCGCGGCCUAUCAGCUUGUUGGUGGGGUGAUGGCCUACCAAGGCGACGACGGGUAGCCGGCCUGAGAGGGCGACCGGCCACACUGGGACUGAGACACGGCCCAGACCCCUACGGGAGGGCAGCAGUGGGGAAGUCUUGCGCAAUGGGC
RNAcentral lists this ribosomal RNA (349 nucleotides) under uncultured bacterium. RNAcentral's name for it is "bacterial SSU rRNA". It matches the Rfam family "Bacterial small subunit ribosomal RNA", at positions 28 to 376 of the family's 1533-position model. The record is from RNAcentral.